Molecule: ribosomal RNA, 338 nt
Filed under: uncultured bacterium
Lineage: Bacteria
Description: bacterial SSU rRNA
Rfam family: Bacterial small subunit ribosomal RNA
Source: RNAcentral
GCUCAGAUUGAACGCUGGCGGCAGGCCUAACACAUGCAAGUCGAACGGUAACAGAAAGCAGCUUGCUGCUUUGCUGACGAGUGGCGGACGGGUGAGUAAUGUCUGGGAAACUGCCCGAUGGAGGGGGAUAACUACUGGAAAUGGUAGCUAAUACCGCAUAACGUCGCAAGACCAAAGAGGGGGACCUUAGGGCCUCUUGCCAUCGGAUGUGCCCAGAUGGGAUUAGCUAGUAGGUGGGGUAAAGGCUCACCUAGGCGACGAUCCCUAGCUGGUCUGAGAGGAUGACCAGCCACACUGGAACUGAGACACGGUCCAGACUCCUACGGGAGGCAGCAGUA